Molecule: ribosomal RNA, 426 nt
Filed under: uncultured bacterium
Lineage: Bacteria
Description: partial 16S ribosomal RNA
Rfam family: Bacterial small subunit ribosomal RNA
Source: RNAcentral
GUGAGGAAUUUUCCGCAAUGGGCGAAAGCCUGACGGAGCAAUGCCGCGUGAAGGAUGAAGGCCUAUGGGUUGUAAACUUCUUUUCUCAGAAAAGAAUUAUGACGGUAUCUGAGGAAUAAGCAUCGGCUAACUCUGUGCCAGCAGCCGCGGUAAGACAGAGGAUGCAAGCGUUAUCCGGAAUGAUUGGGCGUAAAGCGUCUGUAGGUUGUUUAAAAAGUAUUCUGUCAAAGAUUAGGGCUUAACCCUAGAUAGGCAGAAUAAACUUUUAAGCUAGAGUUUGGUAGAGGCAGAGGGAAUGCCCGGUGGAGCGGUGAAAUGCGUAGAUAUCGGGAGGAACACCAAAGGCGAAGGCACUCUGCUGGGCCAAUACUAACACUGAGAGACGAAAGAGAGGGGAGCAAAUGGGAUUAGAUACCCUUGUAGUCC